Molecule: ribosomal RNA, 374 nt
Filed under: uncultured organism
Description: partial 16S ribosomal RNA
Rfam family: Bacterial small subunit ribosomal RNA
Source: RNAcentral
GUAGGUGGCAAGCGUUGUCCGGAAUUAUUGGGCGUAAAGCGCGCGCAGGCGGUUCUUUAAGUCUGAUGUGAAAGCCCACGGCUCAACCGUGGAGGGUCAUUGGAAACUGGAGAACUUGAGUACAGAAGAGGAAAGCGGAAUUCCACGUGUAGCGGUGAAAUGCGUAGAGAUGUGGAGGAACACCAGUGGCGAAGGCGGCUUUUCUGGUCUGUAACUGACUCUGAGGCGCGAAAGCGUGGGGAGCAAACAGGGAUUAGAUACCCUGGUAGUCCACGCCGUAAACGAUGAGUGCUAAGUGUUAGGGGGUUUCCGCCCCCUUAGUGCUGCAGCUAACGCAUUAAGCACUCCGCCUGGGGAGUACGGCCGCAAGGCUG